Molecule: unclassified non-coding RNA, 250 nt
Filed under: plant metagenome
Description: partial contains small subunit ribosomal RNA, internal transcribed spacer 1, and 5.8S ribosomal RNA
Rfam family: 5.8S ribosomal RNA (bases 202-250)
Source: RNAcentral
GUAGGUGAACCUGCGGAAGGAUCAUUAUCGAGUUCGGGGUCCCCUGGGCCCCAUCUCCAACCCUUGUCUAUUCUACCAUGUUGCUUCGGCGGGCCCGUCUUUCACCGGACCGCCGGGGACUCUUGUCCCUGGCCCGUGCCCGUCAGUAGCCCCCCUGAAAUUCUUUUCACGGUGAUGUCUCAGUCCAAAUAUAAUAAUUAAAACUUUCAACAACGGAUCUCUUGGUUCUGGCAUCGAUGAAGAACGCAGC